This is a non-coding RNA of Hippocampus zosterae (dwarf seahorse), 1145 nucleotides long. NCBI's taxonomy places the organism in Eukaryota, Metazoa, Chordata, Actinopteri, Syngnathiformes, Syngnathidae. The record is from the annotation of a RefSeq genome assembly.
ACAGCAAUACACGGCCUCCGUUGUGCAUGUGUGAUGUCACUAAUUCAGAAAGGCCCUGCCCCUCUGCAACUAAGUCAGCGUUUAAGCACACUGCGAGUGCAGACAUGAGUCGGGUGCUUGUAUGUGUGCUGUCGGCUGCUUGGAGCCUGGGAAUCAGCGGCCAGACGGUGCACCAGCCGGAACAAGGCGUCUACUCCUUGGAGGGUGCAGAAGUGACGCUAGACUGCAGCUAUGACAGAGCGGGGAACAGCCAUUACAUCUUCUGGUACAAACAAGAAGUGAACUCAUUGCCUGACUUCAUCCUGAGCACAUCUCAGUUCGGUCAGGGCAAGAAGGGAGAAAAGUACGGUGAAAGGUUUCGCUGCAGCAUGGAUGCCAGCGCUCGGCAAGCUCCUCUGCAUAUCGAACGCGUGAAGCCCAGCGACUCGGGAGUCUUCUACUGCGCCCUGGAGCUCACACUGACACAUCCACUGGCGUGCCUGCACAAAAACACCUGCACCCGCCUCCUCUCAUGAGUGACAUUGGGGGCACUCUGGCCUCACCGGAGUAGAUUGGUCUCACUGUAGCAAGAGCUGCAACUCAGCGUGACAAGAGGCUGUGCUCGAGGAUGCUUUUGUAUUGUCUUGUUUUUUUACUUCACUCUGCUCUGUAGUGGGUCUGAUACUCUGUCUGCUCUUUAGGUUAUCCCAUCCGAUACGACAUGUACGUAGUUUUCUUCUGGUAUUAUCCAAUUUCUUCUCUUCAUUUCUCUUCUCAAGUUCAGUCAGUCAGCUCAGACGACAACUGACGCUGCUCACCAGUGUAAUGGCAGCUUACUUGGCAAAUGUGGCAGGCGAAGCUGCAAUAAAAUGACAAAAGUAGCGAAAAGACAUCAAACUCCAUCUACAUAUUGCACAUGUACAAUCCAAAUGCAUAGUUCUAUCCACAUGAAUCCCUCAGGCCGCUGUCACAGACUGAGUCUGCCGCUGUUGUAUCAUCAUGCGACCACAAUGAACCAAUUGAAUCAUUUGUUUACCGGAACAGAUUUUUUUUUUUAAUUGAUCGGAAUCUGUGCUUAAAAUAGAAGCACUAAUAAAGUAAAAUACAGCCUUAUUCUCUUUGUAGACAGAAAAUAGUCUAUUCACAGUUGGAUUUUCGACAUUUAU